This 231-nucleotide ribosomal RNA is filed under the name uncultured bacterium. RNAcentral's name for it is "partial 16S ribosomal RNA". It matches the Rfam family "Bacterial small subunit ribosomal RNA", at positions 524 to 753 of the family's 1533-position model. The record is from RNAcentral.
CACGUAGGGCGCAAGCGUUGUCCGGAUUUAUUGGGCGUAAAGCGCUCGCAGGUGGUCCGUUGCGUCGUGCGUGAAAGACCCCGGCUCAACCGGGGAGGGUCGUGCGAUACGGGCGGACUGGAGGCCAGUAGGGGGAUGCGGAAUUCCGGGUGUAGUGGUGGAAUGCGUAGAUAUUCGGAAGAACACCAGUGGCGAAGGCGGACUCACUGGACGCGUAUUGACGCUGAGGUG